GGGUGCUGGGGGGAGGACGGGUGCACAGCAGCCUUGGUCCGGGUUGGCCCAGCCUGGCUGAAGGGACAGGGUGCCUUUUUCCUUUCGUAGAGUAUGGUCGUGUCACCUUAAUUUUCUGUUGUCUGCUGGGCACAGCUUCGUGCUGCUCCUCACUGCUGCACCCAGUGCCGGAAAGUGUGUGUGUGGCUUGAGUACAUCUGGGUGUGAAUGUGUGUGCCAGUGUUUCCGCCUAGGUGUGUGGUGUGUGGUGUGUAUGAAUGAGUGUGGUAUGUGCAUGAGGAGGUGUGUGGUGUGUGUGGUGGCUGUGUGUGGUGUGUGUGUGCACAUGUGUGGUUGGUGUGUGUUUAUGUGGCAUGUGUGGCUGUGCAUAUGUGCUGUGCAUGUGUGUGUGGUGUGUGUGUGCUGUGUGUGCCUUUGUGUACAUGUGUGGUGUGUGUGUGUGUGGUGAAUGUGUGUGUUGUGUGUGUCCAGUGUGGUGUGUGUGUGUGGUGUGUGUGUGUGGUGAAUGUGUCUGGUGUGGUGUGUGUGUGUGCCUGUGUAUACGUGGGUGGUGUGUCUGUGUCUGCUGUGUGUGUGUACAUGUGUGGUAUGUCUGUGUGUGGUGAAUGUGUGUGUUGUGUGUGUGUGUUGAGUGUGGUGUGUGUGAGGUGUGUGUGUGGUGUGUGUGUUUGUGUGGUGAAUGUGUCUGGUGUGGUGUGUGUGUGUCUGUGUCUGGUGUGUGUGUGUACAUGCGUGGUGUGUCUGUGUGUGUGGCGAAUGUGUGUGUCAUGUGUGUGUCUGGUAUGGUGUGUAUGUGGUGUGUGUGGUGAAUGUGUCUGGUGGUGUGUGUGUGUGCCUGUGUGUACGUGUGUGGUAUGCCUGUGUGGUGCGUGUGUGUGUACAUGUGUGGUGUGUCUGUGUGUGUGGUGAAUCUGUGUCUGGUGUGUGUGUGUAUGUGCACGCCUGUGUGUAUAUGUGUGGUGUGUCUGUGUGGUGAAUGUAUGUCUGGUGUGUGUGUGUGUGUAUGUGUGCGCCUGUGUGUACGUGUGUGGUGUGUCUCUGUGUGGUGAAUGUGUGUCUGGUGUGUGUGUGUACGUAUGCCCCUGUGUGUACGCGUGUGCUGUGGCUGUCUGGUGUGUGUGUCCAGUGUGGAGUGGUGUGUGUGUGCGUGUGUGCGUGUGUGCAUACCUGUGUGUAUGUGUGUGGUGUGUCGGUGUGUCUGGUGGGUGGUGCAUGUGUGGGGCAGGGAGGGUGGAUGUGGCAGUCUCAGGGCCUCUGGGAACAGGAAGUGGCUGUGUGGAGAGGGGCCCCGGGUUGGCCCGGGUGGGGACUCAUCCUGGUUCCCUCCUUCCCAGACUGACCUGGGUGGAGACUUAUCCUGGCCGCCUCCCUCCCAAGCUGACCUGGAUGGGGAGUCAUCCUGCCUCCCUUCCUCCCGGGCUGGCCUGGGUGGGGGCUCUUCCUGGCCGCCUCCCUCCCUGACUGAGCUUGGUCAUUCCUGCCCCGACUUUUGUUUCCUGGCUCACGGGUGUGAGCUGGUGUGCAGGUGUGUUGGGUGGAAGGUUCCAGAACCAGAGGUCAGAAGCCCUCCCUGCCUACACUUUCCUCCUCCCAUUCCUUUGCCGGGCAGAAGAGCAGGUAGCAAAGGUUCCCAGGUGGCCCGGUGCCUUGGGCUCUGGCAUGCCUGUGUCUGCACCUGGGGACUGAUGGGGUGGGGACCGGGAGCCUCAGCUGUGGGGCCAGCGUGGGCACCCCACGCAGUGCUAAGAUGUGGAGAGGGCGACUUUGUUGCUUAAUUAUGAACAGGUGGCCUUUGAUCUCUAAGGUGUCCUGGUGGCCUGGCUCUCUGUUUCCUUAGCAGGCACUGGGAGUCCUCCUGUUGAGAAACUGCUCAAGGGAGGUGCAUUUACUAGGGACACGGAGAACCCCCAGCUUGGCUCCCCAUGGAUUUGUGGCUGCACUGGCCUGUCACCGGCCAUUCCGGGCAUAAGCGGGGUUGGGGAGAAGUGUCCCUAAAAAAGAGGACUUGACCAGAAGGGAGAGGGCUCCAAGGACAGCAGGAUUGGAGGUCAGUCUAAAGAUCCCCCCCGGGAGGUGCAGGGACCAUUUACCGUACUCCCUGGAAGCCGGGCCCCUGGCUGAGUGCUCUCCAUGGAUGACCUCAGCUGACCCACCUGGCCACCUAUAGAGGAGGAUCCUGUUCUCAGAGAGGGUGAAGUCACCUCCACAGGGACAGGGAGCUGGAGAGACAGGGGGGUUCUGAGCUUGGCUCAGACACCAUAACUGCCCUCUUCUGCAUGCUGGAAGCCCAACUUCGAGGGACUGGUGGAUUCAGUUCCUGGCAAGGGCUCUCUCCUUGGGUUUGCAGGUGGCCACUGGGUCCUCACAGGGGGCUGGAGAGACAGGACCCCAGUGCACCCACUCUCAGCAAAC
RNAcentral lists this long non-coding RNA (2412 nucleotides) under Pan troglodytes (chimpanzee). Its description in RNAcentral is "long non-coding RNA NONPTRT009811". The record is from RNAcentral. Lineage: Eukaryota; Metazoa; Chordata; Mammalia; Primates; Hominidae.